UGGCGGACGGGUGAGUAAUGUCUGGGAAACUGCCUGAUGGAGGGGGAUAACUACUGGAAACGGUAGCUAAUACCGCAUAACGUCGCAAGACCAAAGAGGGGGACCUUCGGGCCUCUUGCCAUCGGAUGUGCCCAGAUGGGAUUAGCUAGUAGGUGGGGUAACGGCCCACCUAGGCGACGAUCCCUAGCUGGUCUGAGAGGACGGCCAGCCACACUGGAACUGAGACACGGUCCAG
This 235-nucleotide ribosomal RNA is filed under the name uncultured bacterium. RNAcentral describes it as "partial 16S ribosomal RNA". It matches the Rfam family "Bacterial small subunit ribosomal RNA", at positions 96 to 334 of the family's 1533-position model. The record is from RNAcentral.